CGGUACUAAACCACUUAACAUAAACCAAUGUAGUUUGGCGGCGUUAUCCCUUAUCAAAGGAACUUGUUUUAUAAUCGACACCACUCGCUAUCCCCUACUUAGACUCACAGCUUAUAUACCGCCGUUACAAAAUUAAUUUUACAACUCCAAAUUUUUAAACACAUCUCACCUCAGGUCAAGGUAUAGCUAAUUUUUAAGAAAAAAUAAGUUACAUUAAACCCUAUUUAUGAACCUUUAAUUUAAAAAUUUCCACGAAACAGGAUUUGACCCCAACCCGUAAUUAGUAAUUACCCGUGAACAAGUUAUAUACGUGC
Molecule: ribosomal RNA, 314 nt
Filed under: Dasumia taeniifera
Lineage: Eukaryota; Metazoa; Arthropoda; Arachnida; Araneae; Dysderidae
Description: partial 12S ribosomal RNA
Source: RNAcentral